This 253-nucleotide ribosomal RNA is filed under the name uncultured bacterium. RNAcentral describes it as "partial 16S ribosomal RNA". It matches the Rfam family "Bacterial small subunit ribosomal RNA", at positions 524 to 776 of the family's 1533-position model. The record is from RNAcentral.
UACAGAGGGGGCAAGCGUUGUUCGGAAUUACUGGGCGUAAAGCGCGGGCAGGUGGUCUUUUAAGUCCUUUGUGAAAACCCGGGGCUCAACCCCGGGCCUGCAUCCGAUACUCCCGGGCUGGAGGCAGGUAGGGGAGAUCGGAAUUCCUGGUGUAGCGGUGAAAUGCGCAGAUAUCAGGAGGAACACCGGUGGCGAAGGCGGAUCUCUGGGCCUGUCCUGACGCUGAGGCGCGAAAGCUAGGGGAGCGAACAGG